GCAUGAAGUCGGAAUUGCUAGUAAUCGCAGAUCAGCAUGCUGCGGUGAAUACGUUCCCGGGCCUUGUACACACCGCCCGUCACACCAUGGGAGUCGGUAACACCCGAAGUCGGUAGCCUAACCGUAAGGAGGGCGCCGCCGAAGGUGGGAUUGAUGACUGGGUGAAGUCGUAACAAGGUACC
RNAcentral lists this ribosomal RNA (182 nucleotides) under uncultured bacterium. RNAcentral's name for it is "partial 16S ribosomal RNA". It matches the Rfam family "Bacterial small subunit ribosomal RNA", at positions 1318 to 1500 of the family's 1533-position model. The record is from RNAcentral.